AUUGAACGCUGGCGGCAUGCCUUACACAUGCAAGUCGAACGGCAGCACGGGUGCUUGCACCCGGUGGCGAGUGGCGAACGGGUGAGUAAUACAUCGGAACGUACCUUAUCGUGGGGGAUAACGCAGCGAAAGCUGUGCUAAUACCGCAUACGCCCGGAGGGGGAAAGCGGGGGAUCGAAAGACCUCGCGCGACUCGAGCGGCCGAUGCCUGAUUAGCUUGUUGGUGGGGUAAAAGCCCACCAAGGCGACGAUCAGUAGCUGGUCUGAGAGGACGAUCAGCCACGCUGGGACUGAGACACGGCCCAGACUCCUACGGGAGGCAGCAGUGGGGAAUUUUGGACAAUGGGGGCAACCCUGAUCCAGCAAUGCCGCGUGAGUGAAGAAGGCCUUCGGGUUGUAAAGCUCUUUUGUCAGGGAAGAAACACCGGCUCUAACACAGUCCGGGAAUGACGGUACCUGAAGAAUAAGCACCGGCUAACUACGUGCCAGCCGCCGCAGUAA
RNAcentral lists this ribosomal RNA (501 nucleotides) under uncultured bacterium. RNAcentral describes it as "partial 16S ribosomal RNA". It matches the Rfam family "Bacterial small subunit ribosomal RNA", at positions 29 to 523 of the family's 1533-position model. The record is from RNAcentral.